UCCAGAAUAGUCUGUGUUAGAGCUUUUCUGAGGAGCUGCUGUUUCUUUCAGCAUCCAGCACCAUCAGAUAUGGACUGUUCCUCUUUGGACAUGGUAUUGUGUUUUGACUCAAUCUUGUCUGACACUGCUUUUUCUUAGUUUCUCUUCAGUUUCCUUUCUGAGCCGACUCCCAUUUAUAUGAGCACCUAUCUUUUGGGCUCUGCAGCAUUCAGUCCAAUAAAGCCUGUAGACAGUCUCUUUUCCUAAGCCAAGCAGAGCAGCAAUAUUCUAAUGAUCAUUUCUCUCUUGCGUAUUUUACUGAUUGCAUGGGAAUGUAGGUUAGUGAUUUAGUACACCCAUAUCCAAGCAAAAUAAUUACCUAGGUUAUUUCUUUUUUCAUAUUUUUGUUGUAUGUGGCCCCAGGUGAAAACCAAUCUUGGUUCUUGAAUCAAUGUCAGAGUUGCUUAUGCUGAUCUAAUUAUUGUUUCCUUCCCUAUCCUCCACUGAAUUUGGGGCAUGGUGAUUUCUUUUAUUUCAGCAAGUUUGCCACAGGCAUUGGACGAGUUUUUUAGCUGAGAUGAGACAGAGCCUGCUUCAGACAUGGCUUCUAGUGCUCUUUUCUUCCUUUCUUCCAAACACAUGUCUUGCAGCUGGCCAGUAGAUCUUUUUUACCUGAUGGACCAAGCAUUUAGCUGCCUUAAAUGCAAUUAUAUUUGUGUUUUCAUCAGCUCAUCAUUUCACUUUUUUUGCAUAGUUAACUAAGGUAAUUUGCCUUUUUUUGAGUUUCUGUGCUUACCUGCACAGAUGUGGGGGGUUCUCAGACUUAAGAAACUGUUACUUUUUCCCUUAAAGUGAGGAAGUACUGCAGUCCCUGCUGAAGAGCACAUUGGUAGUGUAUUGCAGUAUUGAAAAGGACCUGUUGGUUACAUUUCUAAGUUCAGAAGAGAUUAAUUUACACUUGCCUAAAGGGUGUUCCGUUAGUAUUGCUUAAGUCAUGUCCCCAGACAGUGAACUGUUCCCAUUUCACUCCUUGGCUGAUGUACCAGCCUUACAGCAGACUAAUGAUGGGAUAAGGGAAGCAGAUGGACUUCCCAUGUUUUGAGCCAGCUAGUUCUAGGAAAGUAUUUUCUGGAGGUUGUUGAAGCAUAAGGUCUAAUACCUGUUAGAGAAGAGAGGGUAAGGGGAUUCAAAUCAAAUUAUGAAGUUCAACAAAAGUAAGUGCAGAGCCCUGCACCUAGAGAGGAAUAUGCACCAGUACAAGGUCAAGGGUUGAACUACAGGAAAGCAUCUGGGGAUGCUUGUUCAGAAAUCUCUGAUUAAAAAGGCUUUUGCCUGUAGUGUUUAACACAGCAGAGGAAAAUACUUAAAAUUUUAAUAGUCAUGGGUCUUAUCGUCAUUGGUUGUGACUUGAUUGUAGAGCCGAAUUUCAAACUUGUUUCAUUGUUGCUUGUUGCAAGCAGUUUGAUGUGUAAUAAAAGACAAAUUUUUAAAUUUCUGAAGUUUGCAGAACCUGAACAUCCAAGGAGCUAUUUGAGCAGACUGACCUGAGAAAUGGGAAAGGGAGGGAAGGAGGUAUGCAUUGCAUGGGUUGCAUGUUGUUAAUUGAAAUGAAAAAAUGAAUAGGAAUGUUCCUAAUCAAAGGUAGCAUUGCAAAGGUUUUGUCUGGCAGGAUCUUGUGACUGUCAUGUCUAAAAACAAUGUACUUCUUUCUAUGAAAGCAUUACUUUUUUCCCCAACAACAUGCAUGUGAUGCAGAUGAAAAAUACACUGUCUGUAAUGGCCGGAGCAGAGUCUCCAGCUGAACACCACAUACAGAUUGUGCAGUCACUGCUUUGUCAGUCAGUGAAUGGAGAGGGGUGAUCAUGCUGAUGGAACAGAACUAAUGAAGGCUCAACCUUCCAGACUUCACUAGUUUGGAGCAAGAGCCUGAGGUGUGCAGAGAAAUGUGCAGUGCUCCCAUAUCAGUACAGGCACCUACUCUGACUGCACAGCCUCCCCUCUGCAGCAACACUUUCACUAAUGCUUCUGUGGGACAUCUUUGUUCCAGAGGCAAAAUACAUUAGCAUAAGUACAGCCUGCAUCAUCAAAAUUAUCUGGUGUUUUUUUAGUUGUGGCUUUGAGCCCUAGUGGUAGUGAAUGUGGAAUUAUUUUGAAAGCACAAGGCAAUGCACCAUACCUGAACCUUGUUUCUCAUAGCAUCUGCCUCUGGAAUAUAUGUGGAACAAGAGAAAGCCAUGCAUGAUAUCCCUUGAGAAAAGCUGAGGGAUAUAUGGAUAGGGUGGGAAUGGACGUUUGUAAUAGGGCUUUCACAGGACCCAUGAAAUGGAAACAGCAGAAAAAGCUUUUUCUAAGCUUAGAAUUCUAAAACUUCAAAGGAUCUUGCAGGAAAAUUGUGUUGUAGUCCAGGGAAAGACUUAACCAUUCCUCUCUGCCCCUACCAAUCUCUUUUGGGCCUGUGGGUCUGUCUCGAUCUCUAAUCUUAAUUUCCCUUUAUAUAAGGGGAAAAAAUGGGAAUUGCGGUUCUGAGAAUAGUAACAGGAACAGCAUGUUCACAGGCUCUGAGGAUGGAGGUCACCUAGCCCACUGGAGCGUGUAAAAGCUGCACUUCACGUUGGGUUCUUGGCAGUUGAUAAGCCAAGGAGAAACUGCUGGCUUCUGAUUCCAUUCCUGUUAAUGUGUGUGUCAAAAGUCAGAUCAGCUUCCAAUUUUGAUCACUGUGAUUAGGCAGAAAUGGGUAUUGUUAAAGGAGUUAGAGCAAGUCCAGCUCUUGAAAAUAUGUUGUGACACAUCUGUACUGAGAUUUAAGCGGCAGGAAUUACCACUUCAGGAUUCUAAUGCAAAACCUGAAGAUACAGUCUAGAAUUCUGCAAAAAUUAGUCAUUCCUCUGCUGCUCUGAUGAAAUAAAAUGUCAUACUGCCCCUUGUUUUCAUCAUUUCCAGCAGAGCCAAACCCUUUUGUAGAUGUACCUUAGAAAGCAUAUCACAAAAGCAGUUCUGUGAAAAUAAUUUCUUGUACUUUUUGCAAAAAUUAGGGCAAAGUUAUUGUGAAAAUAGCUGAGAUGAUCCAUGCUGUGCAUGUAAGAAUUAUUUUAAAGAGAUUAUCUGGUUAUGGGAGAAUAUUUUAUUUGGAUUAUGUAGCUACAUAGAAUUUAUAAUUCAUGCCUUCUGCAGGAAAAAAGUUCCCCAGUGCUGCAGUGAGAAAUGUCAGAUCUGAACUUGUACUAACUCUAAGGUUUUAUAUUUGCAACAUUGAAUUCUCAAAGAUUAAUCCCUGAAUUUUGGGAGAAAAUUUCUUCACAUAGAAUCCAACUCAGUAAGAAAAGUUUGUCCCACAAGGUUAACUGGUAGCACAUACAAGAUUAGAGGUGCUUCUGUAGUGACUUUUAGAGAAGUGAUGCUUUCUGCUUGAAAGUUGUGCAUAAGUUGUGCUCCAUUUAACAAAUGGGUGAAUUAGGUGCACACUUCAACUCUUUUCAGUGACUGGGACCCCAGUUGUUGCAUCUGCAUAUGAGAUGGAGGACAUAUUUGCAAUCUCUCUCUUCAACUAUGGUGUUGAAACCAGUAUUUCAUGGUACUGACUCUAAUAGUCCCAAAGUUUUCCCUUGCUUAUGCAAGUGAUUAACCUUUGAAUCAAUGCUUAGUAUAACAUUCAUAGCAGUGCAUGUUUUUGGGAAGCUUGUGGAUAGUGUCCUAGGACUUGGAUGGACAGGCAGAAGGUGCUUUUACUGGGCUAAGAGAUGUGUGUUUGAUGCUGGCUCACUUAAUUUCCUCCUUUUUAAACCAUGGAAACUUCACUGUGUUUGUGAUUCUGAAUGACCAUGGAUAAUUUUAUAAAAAAGCUGUGACGUUAUUCUGUCGUUGCAGAUUUACUUGAUUGCACAAGGUCCUGGCAGCUUUUUGCAAAUCCUAAUUGCUUUGAGGAUCAAGCAUUUUAUUUCUGGUUUCUGAUAUGUCAUAAAGUUUUUUCAAGAUAGGUAGGACCUCAAAACAGAGUCAUGGUGCAUUUUUGUUGACUCUUUUUUUCUAGGCCAGUCAUUUUGUGUUCUGAAAGAUUUUCAAAUGGCCACUGAAGUCUGGCUUGCCAUAUUAAUUAUAACUGGGAGAAAGCUAGAUGCUUUUACCACAGGUAUUCUGCCUUGGUAUCUCAGUUGGUAGUUUUUGCGGAAGCAGCAGCUGAGAGAUUUUGCAUAAAUUCAGAACUCAUUAACAUCACAGGGAACUGCCAGCAGUCAGUUGCAAUGGUGAUAACGUGUUCAUGCUGACACACAGAGAGCCAGGAGGUGUGGAUGAAGCAGGUCUGGUAAAUACCACUCCAAGCUUGAUAUUCUGAAGUGUGUUAGACCCUUGCUGAGUUUUUAUCCCCUUGAUAUUGCAAACUUGUUCUUUUGGUUUAGUGGGGCUAAAGAACUUUAUCUUAGUAGUCUGAAGCUGUACUUCAGGCUGCGGUCUUAAUUGAUAAACAUCACAAAUCUUUUAAUUUUUCAAGGCUGAAGUCAGUUCAUCCCUUUUAUUAUGCAGAAAUAGAAGUGCUCUUCCUGGGGCAUUUCUAGGACAUGGGAUUUAAUUGUGCUGAUUGCCAGCGAUAAUAAAAACAAAACAUUCAGUUUAACUGAUACAUCAUAUGAAAUUUAAUGGUGGUCACUUCUAAAUUAGUAUUUUGGUAAUUUCAGCAGUCCUCAUUCAGCCUUUUUUUUUCCUUUAUUAACAAAUACAAUGCAUCCAAAUCAGUUUUUAGAUGGAUCUAUGUUCUUCAAAGACAGGGCUGCUUCCCUGGAACAUUGUAGUGCUUUCCAUCCUGUAUUGAAGCUCACAGUGAAUGCUCUUAUGCAUCUGUCACUAUUACCAGAAUCAACUUCAAAAUAUUGUUACGCAUAUGGAAAUACCAUCCUUUACUCAAUCCAUCCUCUAUUAGUUCUGUCAGUUGCCAUUUUGUAUUGCUGGAUCAGAUUUUUUAAAAGCUGCUGUUGUCCUUCCCUGAGUUUCUAAGUAAGUUUUGCUGUAUUUGUCAGCAUGACCUCCAGUUAAUGCCUCAAGUGUUUGCCCACAGCUAAAGUCUAUUGUAAGCAAAUAUUGCAUGAACUACAGUCUCACUGUGCAUCAGAUGGUACAGGCAGUGCUUGGAUGGUGAGCACACACAGCACUAAACCAGAGCUGCUUGGUUAGUUUUCGGGAAGAUUCCUGUCUGAAGGAUGAGCCUGUGCUGUGGUCACUUGAGUGGUGGUGGAAUGUACAGUCUUUUUCAGAGUGCAGGAGGCACUCAUAGCCUUGAUGGGGUAGAAACUGUGUAUGGAUAGGACCUCUCCUAAAUGGUGUCAACAGUUCAAGUUAGACACUUCGUAAAGGUUGGAUGGACCAGAUGGAUGUCUUCUGAAGUUAUUUUGAAAGUACUUGCUUUUAUCUUGCAGAUUUUUUUUUUUUUUUUAAGUAAACAACCCUGGAAGUAUAAAAGCUUAAAAAGAGGAGUUGUUGCACUGCUCAUACAAGGACAGGCUAAGAGAAUUGGGAUUGUUCAGCCUGGAGAAGGGAAGGCUUUGAGGUGACCUAAUUGUAGCCUUCCAGUACCUAAAGAGAGCCUUCAAGGAAGAUGGAGGGGAACUUCUUACAAGGGCAUGUGGUGACAGGACAAGGAUGAAUGGCUUCAAACUGAAAGGGAGUAGGUUUAGAUUAGGUAUUAGGAAAAAUUCUUUGCUUUGAGGGUGGUGAGGUACUAGAACAGGUUGUCUGGAGAAAUUGUGGAUGUUCCAUCCCUGACAGUGUUCAAGGCCAGGUUGGAUGAGACUCUGAGCAGCCUGAUCUAGUGGAAAGUUUCCCUGCCCAGGGCCGGGGGGUUGGAACAGGAUGAUCUUUAAGGUCCCUUCCAACCCAGGCCAUUCUAUGAACCUAUGAUUUAGCAGUUCCUGAGUAUGUCCAGUUUCUACCUGUUAAUAUUUACAUAUAUCUUGGUAAUUCCUCUAAAUUAGGUUCUGGAAAGGACUUAGUAACCACUGAGGUUUAUUUAAAACUUCUUUUACUGCUCGCUGGAGUGAAAUAAGUGGCUCUUUAAACCUCGCCCUCCUUCAGUUUGGCAGAUCACCUGGAAAACCACCAGCUAUGUCCAGCUAUUUCAGCCUAAUUAAUGUUUCCUGAUUAGAGUUCCUGCUCUGAAACUCAACUGGAUUUGUUCCAAAAAAGAACAAAAACUUUAUUUAGGGCAGAGGGGUAUACUAAAUGAUGAAUGCACAUCAAAAAGCUCUAAAUUGAGAAUAGAGGUAUCUUUUGGGAUGGAAGGAUUGGUAUCUGAAAUCUAAGCAUCAGUGAUGGAGGGCAAGAGAGAGAAAAACAUCUUAAGGACUCUUAAUGAGCCAUUACCUCUGAUGUCGUGGUAUUGCUUUACUCUGCCACGGGUGCAGUCUGUCUUCAGACCUGGCUGAAAUACAGCAUGAAUUUCAGUUUCACAAAGCUAGUGAGCUGCUGAUAAACCUGCACAUUCCCCAAUACACAGAAGAUCUGUAUCAGUCUCUUUAUAUACCUUGGAAAAUCCUAACCAAACAACCAAAACUCCAAGCCAUUUCAAAGGCUACGUAACUUUGAGUAAAGAGGUGGAAGGCAUUUCCUUUUUACUGAGAUUGGUCUCUGGCCUGUCUUGCAUCACUAAAUUGUGCUGUGUGAAGGGCUGAAAAUCAUGAGUAACCAACUUUCCUAGCCUUGGUAUUGUUUUAUAUUACUCUGAGUAACUCCUGCCUUUACUGCUAUUGUUUGAUAGAGGUCUCUGCUCUGUUGUGUUGGUAGAAUUCCACCACUAGCUAGGAUGAUUUCAUGUUGAAUAGAUGUUUAUAUUUCAACUUUUCUCUCUGGUUUUCUUUCCCUCAUGCCUCUGAUGUCAAGAAAUAAAAAAAAUAAAUGAGAAACCUUUACCUUUUUGUUUUGUUCCAAACCUCAUCUGGUAGGUUUCUGAGAAGAGAAACAUCUUUCCUUGAAAUCUGCCUUAUUUUUAUUAUCAGGUUGGUAUGAUGGAAUGUUUGAGAUUCUUACAGCUGUCAGUGCAUAGAACAUUACUCUUUUAUGUUGCUUUGAGUUGCUGCAAUAAUUUCUUCUGGUAAGAAGGAUACACCUAGUCCCAGUGGAGGUGCUGGUCAUCACUAGUUUUUCCUCAGGUGCUGGCUUUGGUACUGCAACAAGCUUUUGUUGGCUAAUGUUUCCCUUCCAGCAGUACUUGUAGCAGGUGAAAUGUUAGAGCUCUAAGUGUAAGUGUCUAAAAGUAAUACUGUAUGAAAGUGGUCUGGUGAAACAGAAAGGGUUUCACAGUGUAUUGGCUGGCAGUAAUAGUGCACAAAUGUUUCAAUUUAAGGAAAACCAGUUUGUACAUGUACACUGCAGUGGCUGGUUUGUAACAUGCUCAGCAUGUGUUUAAGCUCAGUUUACACAAAUAUGUAAACUUAGCUGCCUUGCCCCUGAUGCAGUGUUGCUGUGUGCUUCUGUCACUUGUUCCAGAGCAAGUUUUAUGGUCACAGUCUUGAAUGUUGCAGAGGUGACUUUGUGAUCAUACAUGCCAGGAAACAUCACAGGACAGGGCACCAACCAGCCCCAGUGUCAGCUGAAUUAUACUGCACACUGUGGGACUCUUGAGGUAAAGCUUUUGAAAACAAACCUGUGGUUCAAAGCUGGGUUAAAAGUUGCUGGUGAAGCAGGUGGCAAGGAUUCCCUCUAUUUGCCAGAGGAUUUGCUCUUAGAAGUCCUUAUCUCCUUCUUAUAACCUGGACAAGGAUUUCUAUAGAUUUAGCAAUGUUUAUGAUGCUGAGCUUGGACUAUUCCCACUAGAACUCGGCCACAGGCCACCUUUACUGUGUUGAAUACCCCUUGAAUUACUGAAGUAUCAAGAACAGCCAGGAUCGUUUAGAGUGCCUUCUUAAAAAUAUUUUCCCUAGCUUUUAUAGAAUGUGCCAAUGGCUUAAUGUGACACAUCCUAUUUUUAAUGCAAACAGCUCCCUUCUGGAUACCUAAUGUUAUCUAGAAAAUGGGCAAGAGAUAGAGCAGCUUUCAGGGCUUGGUAUUUAGAUUGGAGAAAUUAAGCUGCAUUACAAGGUUCAGUGAACAGGAACAUGGACUGCCUCAUGGUGCCUUUGUUGCAGGCUUGCCAUCUGGCUAUUUAUCCAGCGGAUGGUGGGAGGCUUGUGUGGUGGUUCCUUUGCUACCUGCACGCCUCUGACAAGUUUGGGUAUCGUGGAGUACUUCAGGUACUUUAGGGCAUGCAAGGCAAAGCCUUCUUGCAAGCUGUUGUUCUGCUGUUUUGGCAUAGCAGGUACACACGUAGGAGUUAAGAGUUGGACUUGAUGAUCCCUGUAGGUCCCUUCCAACUCAGAAUAUUCUGUGGUUCCCUGUUGAAGCUAAAAAUUGUGCCAAAGCUCCAUCCACUGUGGUCUGCUGAAGGGAUGAGUUAUAAAAUAAAUGCUAAAAUCCUUCUUGUCCAAAUUGUUUUGAGUCUGUUCUGUCUGUGAAGCUGUCUCUAAAGAGCUAUUGGAAAAAGGGGUGAACCUGGAUAACUGGUGCUGAAGGGGUUCAGUUCUGUUCCAAAAUGUGCGGAAUGUGGGUAUGUCACAGAAACAUCCUGUUGAGUCAGAAUCAGUAAAAUUUUCUGGUCAAGACAAGUCUGUUUUUUCCCAGACUUCCAGGAAGGAGUCUCAUGCUCCUCUAGAUUGUUCUUUAUAAGGUUUCAACUUUCUAUAUGCAGUAUUGAUUAAGAACAGGAUAAUUUUGUGGUGCUGUACCAUUGUAUCUUUCAGUAUUCUCAGGUUUGAAUGUUUAAAAAGUAGCUUUUGAACCUGAUAGUUGUACAUAAAUGUCAGCUCUGUGUCAAGAAUAAACAUCUGGUGGGAUGUACACUUUGUUAAUAUUGAUUAAAAUUGCAGCCUCAUUUAAGCAGAGACUGGCAAUACUGCCCUUUUGUUUCUAUGGGCAGCCAACAUGUUGUAAACUCAUUAAUAUUAGAUUUAUAUUUAAUGUUUCCAUUGUCUUUCUGGUACAAACAAGGUUUCUUCCCAUAGAUAAAGAGAGUUCUGAUAGCACUUUGAAGACACUGCAGCAGUGCUAACAAGAUCGGGGAUUUAGAUGUCUGUUCUCAAUUGAUUAUUUUUUAAAUGUCUUUCCAUUGUGGAAGAAGUUUUCUGUUUAAGUCUGUCUUUUCUUCCUGGGGUGGUCAGGGACAAACGCAUUGGCAUCACAAAAUGCCCAUCUUCUGUUUUUAAGGGUGAAACAUGAAUUUGGGGCUCACAUUUCAGCAGUGCCUCCGAGGUUCUGGCAGGUCUCCCUGUGGAGGUAUUGGCCAUCUCCUAAGAAACCAACGCAGAUGAGGGCACAACAAGCCUAAAUUAAUAAACUGUUCAUGUGAACUUGCCCCUAGAGCUCAACAGCUCAUGACUCUCCUAGAAACAGUAGGGAUUCUCCAAUGAAAACAACUCAAAGAAAAAUUAAUUCUAUCCUGACAAUGAAACAGUGUAGGCAACCUUACAGCUCCCAAGAGCUAGACACUUGUUUUCCAGAGAUGAUCUCUAAUGUAAUCCUGCAGCAUUGAUUUUUUUCUUUCUAGCCUCUGAUUGUUCUUGCUGAAGUCAUGGUGGGUAGCAGCCAGCGUGGGCUAGGAAAAGCCUUAUGGAAGUGUGAGGUUGACAUCUUCUGUUUUCCCUGAACACCAGUCCUCUUGUUCAUGCAGACGGGGUUUUGUUACAAGCUAACAUGAUACAAGACCUACAGUUCUGGAAUUCUUUAACUUUUAUAUAGGGAAGAAGUAUAUGAAUAUGCCUUUACCAGAAACAAAAAAUAUUUCUUUAACAAUUUCUCUCUUAAAACUGAAUGAUUUGUCCAUCUCCUUCAGCUGACUGGGAUGGAACUAUUUCUUCAUAGCAUUAUGAGCUAUGUAUCAUUUUAUUUUAAUGGAUCUCUUAAGUCUCUUUCCUGGGAGGAACCUCAUGUCCAGUAUGCAGUGAUGUGAUCUGGUGGUUUCUGGUGGUUUCAACCACAUGAGAAAGUGAAUGUGGAUGUGGUGCUGUGAUUCCACUUCCAGGAAUAUCUGAGAGUGCAUCCAUCCUGUAACCACAAUGAGACUCCAGCAUAAUAUAGACACACCUGAAGUAAUGUUAAGCUGAGUAUCUCUGUCCAGACAUGCCAGCAUGAAGCCUUCCAGGACUGCAGUGACCAUGCCAAAAGUUGGUUCAUUUAGCUUUUGGUGAGCUUUGUGUUUUUUUGGUGAAAAUAUACCUCAGGUAACUUGUUUAAAACUAAGUGAACUUGUCUUUUAGCUGCCCUGCACUAACUCAGAUAGUUCCAAACCCCUCAGAGCACUGAAAAUGUUCUAACCACUUGAGAAAGAUUUGCUUCUAAGAUAUGCAAGAGCUGCGUGCUGGUCACAAUGAGGUUGCAUUGCCUCUUGGACUUGUGUCUUCAUUUACUAACAAAUUCCAGCUGCUUCCAGACAGGUUACUUGUAGAGAGAGAGCCAAGAGGGAGAUUAUUUGAUAGUCACUUAUUUGACUGCAGUUUUAUAUGUCCUAAAGGAUGUGUUUUAUAGGUAACUACAGGGGUUGCAGCAUGGAAACUUGGGUUCAAGUAGCUUUGAUUAAGAAAUAGAGAAGAAAAUGUGAUUUCCCUUUACAGUUACUUGCUGAACUAAACUGUGAUUAGAUUUCCAAGCAAAUUCUAAGUGCUACUGAAUUUUGUAUAGAGCUGUGCAUCUUUCUUAUUUGUUCAAGGCAGUGAUUACAGAGGACAGUCUGUAGAGCUUUUGCAGAUUAUCAGGAUUGCCAGCUAUGCUGCUGUGUUUCCUCUUAAAAAACGAUCAGGAAGGUGUUUUGGAAAAGUAUUUUUUGCGUCCUGCAGCUGUAGGGAAAAUGGGCAAGCUGUGCGGAUUUGCCUCUGGUAUUUGUCCUGCUUUUUCCUGAAAUAAUUUUACUCAGUAAACAUUUUUCAGAUGGUUUUCUGUGAUUCCUAUCCAGCCAUGGUGCACUAGGCUAUGAACAAAAUUGAAAACAAUGGAAGAGCUCAGCAAUACCCCCAUGAAAGCCAUCAGAUCAGAGUUUCAAAUUACCUAUACGCCUCAGCUGUGUCUAUAAAAUAAGUAAGUCAAUGAGAGGGCAAACAGUGAUUUAAGAUUUUGCCAAAUGAUUGUGGAGCCUUGGGUUCACAGGAGAAACUACAUGCAACUUUUUUUUCUAAUAAGAAUUUGUUUCAGGACAGUAAUGUCAAAUAUAGUAAAUAUGUGAGCCAAAAUACAAGUCUCUGCUAGACCAUUGCUGUGUCAGAAUAUUGUAUGGAAAAAAGGAAUCUAAAAGGGUUGAUGCCAAUUCAUUGUAGUAUGGAUGUGCCUGAGUGCUGGCUUAGAGCUGCAAUGCAGGGUUUUGUUUCUUAGGACAAGUAGCCCCAAAGGACUGAACAUGCAGUGUCAUUUCCUGGCCAAUCUGUAAGGCUCAGAUCCUUGACGCAGACUUUUUAUUCCUGAACAUCCAUGCAACUGUGCUCAGCAGCGAGUUGAGGUUUCCCUGCCCUGGAAGUGGGGUUGGUUGAGAUUUAGAUUGAUUAAGAUGCCAGUAUUUUGAAUGAUGGUUCUACACAUCAACUAGUUUGCUUUCAAAGGUAUGACCAAAGAUGCUUGUCUUAAGAUGCCUUUUUGCUGUGAGCCCCUUCUGCUGCUGCCCCCCCACACCACUUCCAGGUUGCCAUGGGGUUAGAUCUUACUUUAAAUCCUGGGAUAAGUCCAGGUGCACUUGUGUGCAAUUAUAGGCUUCUGUCCUUGGUGUGAGAACCACCAUGCUUUGUUUGUGUCUGCGAGACUGGAGAUGAAGCAGCUAAGGAAAGAUUGCAGUGUCCCAGCAGAGGCUUUGUGGAGAUGUUUUUGUGUGACAGGGUGUACCUGGUGACAGCAGGUAUCAGCACACAGGUCAUGGGACUACAUGAGAUGUGAUACAGGCUACUUGUGUAGCAGAGCAAAGGUAAAGAGACCUUGGAGUACUGCAAAUCAGUCACUACCAUCCAUCAGACACACACAGAAGAGGGAGCCACAGGCUUGUUGGGUGUGCAGUGCGAUUGGAGACAGCAAUUAGGCUGUAAUUAAGCAGCAAUAGCACUGAUAAAGAAGUGCCAGAGGCCAUUGAGGUCUAACAAGGCUUCUGAUAGAAAACCACAGCCCAUAAAAGUCAAAUCUUUUCCAAGGUCAGAGUUUCUGAAACCUUGGUAGACACUAAUCUGCCACUAAAAUCUGAUGAAAUGGAGUGAGCAUUUUAGGGAAUAUUAAAUACAUAAAUAAAGAGGAGCACUUUGGGUGGUCCUUUCAGCACAAACUUCUUUUUCUAAACAAUUCAACAUAAAUUUAGCUCAGUUUUCAGAAUUUUCAGAGGGAGAGGCCUCUAGAUUCUGCUAGACCCCUCUGAUUUUCCUGUCCCUGUUAGUUGGGUUGCACAGUCCAGGCUGGUCCCUAUAGAGUACAGGUAUAGAAAUCAACACAUUAGAAACCAAAAGCAAUUGACGCAUAAAAGAAACGCCUUCAAAUUAGAGCAACUUCCAGCUUUUUUGGCCACCUUAUUUUAAAUGACACUUUGAGAAAUUCUUCUUGACACAUUCAUGGGGAGGUAAGUCACUCAUUUAAUCACUUUAAAGCAUUAAAGUCUCUGGUUUUCUGACACUUGCUUGUUCUGUUGUGCAUUUCUAAAAAGCUGGUUGUCAGCAGAACAGAAUUCAAAAACAGAAAGUGUUGUUUUUCAUACAAACACUCAAGACUGCGAAUCAUUUUUACCUCUUCUUUGAAUAAGCAAUAUUCUGCUUCUGGAGAAUUGCAGGGUCUGGUUAGGUGCAUAUAGAAGUGUUCUGUACCCGUCUGAACAACACGCACUUCUGCUCCCUGGAAACAAAGAGGGAGACUUCAAAGGUGUCUGAUUAGUUGUCAGCCUGUUCUCUUGACAGUUUCCAACUUCUCUUUUUUAAAGCAGCCACUUCUGGAGUUGUGUGAAAGCCAGUUGAGCAGAGGAAUGCUUUGAUAUCAAAGUGCAGAGAAGGUUUCUGAGAAUACUAUGACUUAGGGAGUGGUGGUUACUACACACACUUUUCAUGAAGAAAGCAAUUGAGAAAGCUGCUUGAGUUUGAAGUCUGGAUUAUGAUACUGUUGCUCUUUGCUACAGUCUCUACCCAGUGAUGUCUGUCAGGUAACAGGUAGUCACAUGGAACUUGCCAGGCAAUUUGCUGGCUAACAUAAUUUAAUUCAAUUUUAAACAUGUGAUCAGCUGUUUUAAAGAUUUGAGACAAAUACUUCAACCUGUAUGAAAGAAACUUUCUAGUGUAUAAAGAAAACUUUCAGAGAACCGUGGAUAUCCACACUUCAUGGUCCAACUAGCAAACUGGACAGGUGAAUACCUACCUGUGCCUAGGUUUGACGUGCAAAACUCCAGCUUUGUUGGUAAUUCAUGAGCAUGAGAAAGAUUUUCAGUUUAUUAAUAACAAUUUCACAAUGGGAAAUUGGGAGAAAAAAGGAAGAAAGCUUUUUUUCUUUUUUAGAUCAACCGUGGAAUAGGACUGAGGCAGAGACCUGUUUGUUCUAAGAUCUUGUUGAUUUGUGGUGAGAAAUUUGAUCAAUUUUGCAACACAUUGCUUCAAAAUGAAUUUAUAAUCUUAAAUGUGCUGGAUUUUUAAGGCUUCUCAUUGCUUUUUAAAAUCCGUAAUAAUUGACUAUACCUCCAAUUUCUAUUCUAUAGUUUCAAUAGCAGAGUAGGAACUGGGGGUGUGGGAUACCAGAUUUAUGUUAUUGUGUCACCAGACUCUGGAUAACAUAACAAUGGAUGAUUACUUUUCUUCGCAGACUGAUAACAGUAGCAAAAAUAGUAACUGUAAGUCUAGAUUUAGUGUCAAAGUGAAAGUUAACCUUGUCUGAAAAAUGAAGAAAGACCAGUUAUCAGAGUAAAAACUAAUGCAUAAAUGGAAAGUUAAUGACAUAAAUUUAUAUUCCAUGCUUGCUGAUUUUAUUUUUAAGUCACUGAUGUUAAUAGGGGUUUAAAUCACUUAAAUUCAUCCUCUGUCUUUCCCUUGCAAUUCAAAGCAAUGAAAACCAGUGCUUCUAAGAAUAUACUAGAGGGACCCAAGCUGUGUUUUCCCUUGUCAUUUCUGUGUAACAGGUCAUUCUACCCUGGUGAAGCCUUGUGCCUUCAUGCUCUUCUGAUCAGUACAGCACAGCUUAGUCUCCAAUCUAUUGUUCUGUAAAACUUUAUGGAGUGUUCUAUUUCAGCAUGUUCUCUUGAUGGAUUUUCUGUUGUUCUCAUUAAUGAAUGUGUUUGCACUGCUUGCUGUUUCAUAAGGCUCUUGCUAAAGACUCAACUGUUCCAACAUGGCUGUGUUUUCUCUCACCAUAAAAUACUGUCUGUUCAUGGAAUCACUACAAAAAGAAGAAUAAACUCUCCUUCUAGAAUUAGCUACCCUUGAACCCAGCAAUCAUUGUACUGUUGUCGUAGUGCCUACAUUGUAUUUUAGUGUCUUCAUGCAAUAGCUUUGAUCCUAAUCUUGAGCCAUGAAGUUACUCAGUCCUGGUUUAGUGCAGUGCUGGCAGGAUAGGCUGGAUUUGGAAUCUGAGGCCUGAAAAUCCUUCUCUUAGCAUCACUACAGACACAGUGUAGUACAGUGCCCUGUGUGAAAGUGGGGGGAAAGGGUCACAAUUGUGCAAGCAUGUUUUUCCAAGGAGCCUUUCUGCCCCUUGGGAAUCAGCAGAUUUUUACCAGUAACACAUCCAUGAUUUAAAGGCUGGUUGAUCUGAGGAAGUGAAGCCUUCCUGGGUUUCUCUGUAAGAAUUAAAAAUUUUAAGUGGGGGUAGUACAGAGCAAAUAAGGAAGAAAACUUGACAUAAAGAGCUGGAUUUCUGAACUACAAAGAAUGAGUUUGGCUUCCCAAAACUUCAGGUAGAGAAUGAUCCUGACUCAUGGUGGUGGUGUGCUUCCAGUUUUCUGGCUGGGUUAGCUCUCACCUGCUGUGAUGGGAAGAUGCUUGUUUUAUAAGAGCAGCUCAGUCCAGGCCUGGAUGGUCGUCAUCCUGCUUCAUGUAGCAUCACUUGUAGUUGAAGUGGUGCAGGUCAAAUCACACAGUCUCUGACACUGGCACUUCCCUGUUUGCCACAAUAUGGCUGUGAGUCUUUAAAAACACUCAACAGUUACAUUCUGGUUGUGGGAAAGGAUUCUGCCACAGGAUUACAUUGCGCACUGCCCACCAGGAAGAUGUUCCCAGAUGUUCCUAGAUGUUAAGGAGUGUGUUUGGCCAUUAAGAUUUGUGGAUUCUACAAUAAUAUUUUUAGAACUGAUUUCCAGAUGUAGAGCCAUGCUUUAAUUUCUAUGGAGGACUGGUCGGCUGACCCUUGUAAAUGCAUGAUUUGGCUUGAAGGAGGCACAUCUGUAUCUAAUUAAAAAUUAAAAACCUGCAUUUUAAUAGCUUCAGGUGAGCAAAAGAGGACUUGAAUGCAGAGGCUGUGUUUUGAUGUAUGGAUGGUGGGGAAAGGGAGAAAAAAGGUGGCCCUGGGAAACCUCUCACUAAUAUCUGCCAGUUUCUGAGGCAUGUGCACAAAAGCCCACAAUGUUUCAGUUAUUCAGUAUUGUUCAGAUUUCUAGAGGUAAAUGCUCUUACACUCAUCCUGAUUGAAAUGCAGGUGAAUGCCCAGAAUGCCAUCGAUUUGCCUCGCUUAGCUGUGGGGUAAGUACUACUUUGAAGCAUCUCUGUGGCACACAGGAAAAUGACAGCGUAUUUUCAGCAGCAUGUUGAAACGUGGAAGUGUCUUGUGAGAUAAUGGUUGAAGUGCAGAUCCUCCCUCCAUGGCACGGUUUGGUUGCAGAGGGACAGGCGGCUUAUGUGACAGUGAAUCUGUCCAUUACCCCUUGACAUAUGUUUUUGUUGUCUGAUACAAGAGAAUUUUAGAGCUCUUCUUGAAAACUAAUUAGGAUUCCUUAUUUCAGGGUUCACUAGAAAACACAGCGUUAGAGUAGAGAAGACCCAAAUGAGUGGGAAGGAUGAGCAGAAUUCAGGCAGGCUGGUGUUUGCAUAGCAGCUGCUUGCAAACUGGACCAUGCACUGAGGUGUGAGCAAUGCUUUCUCCUUCCUGACAGUGGUGUUCCAGGAGGGGUAUUGAAGGGUGGACGGUGAAUUAAAAAAAAAAUCUAAGCAACAGAUGAAAUUGUUCUGUUGCAAUAAUGCUGGCUCUUCCCCCUUUUACACAGACUCCAAUGGAAUGGAAGAUGUGUUUAGGAGAAAAACAGUAUUGGAGAAACCUGCACGAGUGUUUCUGACCCUUUAAAUGGGUCAGCUACCACCACAUCAUAGCAGAAUCCAGCCACUCAGGUCCUGCUGUGCUCCAUUGUAAUUAGCAGAGUUCCUUCUUUUCUUUGUAUGAAUUCAUUUCAAAAUCUAAAUCAAAAUAAAAAUUCAUUUGCCUCUGCAGCUCUGA
This is a long non-coding RNA of Parus major (Great Tit), 16407 nucleotides long. RefSeq lists it as uncharacterized. The record is from RefSeq and is a predicted model, not a curated record. The transcript has 2 exons. NCBI's taxonomy places the organism in Eukaryota, Metazoa, Chordata, Aves, Passeriformes, Paridae.